AUGUACAAUAAUCAAUAAAUAGGUGUGUGUUUGAGGCGUUGGAUUAAUUUGUACUUUGGUUUUAGUUAAGGGUUUGGUUAGAGUAUGUCUACGGUUAUGGUUUUAGAGUUUGUUUAGGGUUAAGGGUUUGACUAUGAAUUACGGAUUUAGGGUUUGUUUAGGGUAUGAUUAAGAAUCAUUAUUGUAUUAUGGUUUUAGGGUUUGGUUAGGGUAUGUCUAUGGUUAUGGUUUUAGUUAAGGGUUUGUUUAGGGUUUGGGUCCUCAGGUUUUAUGAUUUUGUAGCACACAAUUCUUUAUAGGGUUGUUUCAUAAUUUAUACAAAAUCAAAUCUAGAGUUGUUUCUUAAUUCAAAUCAAAUACCAAAGCCAAAGUUGUUUUCUAAUUCUAACAAACCAAACUAAUAAAAUCACAGUUAAUCAAUCAUCCUCGAGGUCAAAGACCUCAGACCUCUCCCAUGGUGAAGGCACAUAUC
RNAcentral lists this long non-coding RNA (472 nucleotides) under Brassica napus (rape). RNAcentral's name for it is "long non-coding RNA (BNAP_LNC009542)". Lineage: Eukaryota; Viridiplantae; Streptophyta; Magnoliopsida; Brassicales; Brassicaceae. The record is from RNAcentral.